Long non-coding RNA from Hibiscus syriacus, 393 nucleotides. RefSeq lists it as uncharacterized. NCBI's taxonomy places the organism in Eukaryota, Viridiplantae, Streptophyta, Magnoliopsida, Malvales, Malvaceae. The transcript has 5 exons. The record is from RefSeq and is a predicted model, not a curated record.
GUUUGAGUGAAUUUUGAUUCGUAGGAUGAUGAUGGAGGAACUGUAAGUGAUGACAUUGAGAAUCUAAGAGGCACAGGGUUUCCAGGGGUUGCUUCCGUAAGUAAUGUUCCUCCAAGGGAACAAGCCAAGUGGAAACGCAAGACAAUUGUUAUACUUGCAUUGACUUUUCUUACAAGUUCACAAGCAAUACUUAUUGUCUGGUCGAAGAUAGCUGAGAAGUAUUAGUAUAAUGUUACCACAGCGAACUUUAUGGUGGAGACUUUGAAAUGUGCCUUGUCACUUGCAGCGUUGGCAAGAAUAUGGAAAAGUGAAGGUGUUACAGAUGAUAACAGGUUGAGUACAACCCUCGAUGAUGUUAUUGUUUAUCCUAUUCCUGCCUUACUUUAUCUUGUC